Molecule: long non-coding RNA, 266 nt
Filed under: Dendronephthya gigantea
Lineage: Eukaryota; Metazoa; Cnidaria; Anthozoa; Malacalcyonacea; Nephtheidae
Description: uncharacterized LOC114540656
Source: RNAcentral
UGGUGUCAGGUUUUUAUGCGAUUUCAUACCUCUGAUCCAAGUUUUCUUUGAAUAAUAACAGAUGUAGCCUUCAAAGAUGGAUUAUCCUUAUUGUAGAAGAAAUUUAAACAGAAUAAUAUUGAAAAUAUGGAAAUAAAUGGUGAGUGCAAAAACUUAGAGAUUAAUUUGUCUUUGUAAACCAUUCAUAAAAUACCAAGUUCCCCAAUGUAUAUCAAAAUAAAACCAUCUAUGUCCGUGAUUAUCUAUAUUAUUAAAAAUAAAAUCAA